GGAUCUUUGGCGAUGUCCAUAUCACAGUGAUAGCACUGACCCAAUUAUAUCUCAGUUUACGUAGUACAAGCAACAACAAAAAUCGGUUGUAUUCGCUACGAUUUUUAUUAGAAGAAUGCAUUUCAGUACCCCGCGGAAGGAUCGCAGUUGUACAGGACAAACAUAAACUAUAGGAUGGCAGCACACACACACUCGGUGCAUUCGAGCUGGGUGCACGUUGCAUUUCUGCAGUGGCGUGUAUUCAUGGAUGCACGUUGCAACCUCGGAUCUGUCUCCCUCUCCAGUGGGUUCUACCUCGGGUUCAGAUUCUCGGAGCUCCCAGCCUCACCAGACCGUGAGACUGCCUGAGAGACCGGUCCAUUCAACACCACCAGCUGUCAUCAUAGGCAGCUCUAUGGUGAGAAACAUGUCGGUCCCCAAGGCAAAACCCCUGUGCUACGAAGGAGCACGAGUACAGGACAUAACAAGGCUGCUUCUGACUGUUCUACCACAGAUGCCGGGAGCUGAAGACAUAAGGAGGGCUAACUCGGAACAUUUGAAAAUGUAUUUUAAAGAACUGAUUUUAUCAUUAAAAGACUACAUAAAACGGCCAAUAACUUCAGGUCCAGUACCAUCGUUGGGCCGCGGGUGUGAAAGAUUCAGCAGACUGCUUGCAUUACACAUCUGGCUAAAAGACUGUAGCUCUGCUGGAGUCACUUUUAUUGAUAACUUUGACACCUUCUGGAAACAGAAGAUACUCUACAGGAAUGACUAAGCCCAUCCAAAUCUUCUUGGCUCCUGGACUCUGUUCGUGCAUUUCAAGGCUGCGUUGGAUCAAUGACUGGUAAAUGAUCCUAGACCAGCUCAGUUAAUCCCUACCAUUGUGACAAUAAGUCUUCAUAAUGCUGCAUCAAAUGUACAUGAUCUUAGGGGCAUUGGCAAACACAAUGUAAGUAAUUUAAUUUAUAUACCCCUAAUUGCACCGAAUACAUCUGUUUAUCCUACAGCUAUUGUAAGCAGUAAUCAUGAGCCUAUAAAUCAGAGUUACACUGUUAGCACUGAGGCGGUGUGCAAUAGUAGGAAGACCACUUAGUGCAGGGUGAGCUGCAUGAUCAGCUCCAAUGUAAAUAACAUGAGUAAGCCUACCUCUGACAAGCUUCCCAGUUAAAGCAUUAAAAACAAUCAAGCAACCCAGAAAAGUGCUAAAAAUAGGCCAUAUUAACAUGUGUAGCCAACGAAGGAGUGGCUUCGUAAGAUGCAUUUCAAGGUCCUGGAGUGGCCUAGCCAGUCUCCAGAUCUCAACCCCAUAGAAAAUCUUUGGAGGGAGUUGAAAGUCUGUGUUGCCCAGCAACAGCCCCAAAACAUCACUGCUCUAGAGGAGAUCUGCAUGGAGGACUGGGCCAAAAUACCAGCAACAGUGUGUGAAAACCUUGUGAAGACUUACAGAAAACGCUUGACCUCUGUCAUUGCCAACAAAGGGUAUAUAACAAAGUAUUGAGAUAAACUUGUUCUUGACCAAAUACUUAUUUUCUACCAUAAUUUGCAAAUAAAUCCAUUAAAAAAUC
Long non-coding RNA from Oncorhynchus nerka (sockeye salmon), 1544 nucleotides. RefSeq lists it as uncharacterized. The transcript has 2 exons. The record is from RefSeq and is a predicted model, not a curated record. Lineage: Eukaryota; Metazoa; Chordata; Actinopteri; Salmoniformes; Salmonidae.